Molecule: transfer RNA, 73 nt
Filed under: Acholeplasma brassicae
Lineage: Bacteria; Bacillati; Mycoplasmatota; Mollicutes; Acholeplasmatales; Acholeplasmataceae
Rfam family: tRNA
About the family: Transfer RNA (tRNA) molecules are approximately 80 nucleotides in length. Their secondary structure includes four short double-helical elements and three loops (D, anti-codon, and T loops).
Source: Rfam by way of RNAcentral
GGGGCUUUAGCUCAGCUGGGAGAGCGCCUGCCUUGCACGCAGGAGGUCGACGGUUCGAUCCCGUUAAGCUCCA